GAGCCACCCAAAAGUAUUCUACUCCUAAUCCGGGAGAGAAUAGCCAAAAACAUAUCUGUUUUUCCCUAUGAAAUAAAUGCUCGAGUUAUCUUGAUUACUACCACUUGCUAUAUUAUUUAAGGAGAUAAGUGCUCUCUAAAAAAAAAGAGGAUACGAGGAAAUAAAAAGGGGCAAGUGCCCGGAACCUCGAAGAAAAGAAAGAGUGAGACGAGAGGUAAAAAUGGACAAGUGUCCGACAGUAGAAUUAGGGGUACAAAGAUACCCACCUGAGAGAAAAGAAAAAGAAAAUAUAGAGCAUCUCAUUCUCCUCAAAAAAAUCUUCAAAGUGCAAGAAAGGUAUGUAUCCCCUUAAAAAGAGCAAAAGUAGAAUUAGACUUUCACCAUUGUUAUCACCAUCAUCAUCAUACACCAUUCACUCGCCACACAUGCACAUCUUGAUUUGACUUAUUGACUUGUUUCUCUAGAUCCAUGGUUUGACUAUGCAAUAAAUAUCUUGUAAGUAUGUAUUAGCUGUCUCCCACCUAUGAGCUCCCGAUAUCAAAACCUUAUUAGAGU
RNAcentral lists this long non-coding RNA (555 nucleotides) under Sorghum bicolor (sorghum). RNAcentral's name for it is "long non-coding RNA (SBIC_LNC000748)". The record is from RNAcentral. Lineage: Eukaryota; Viridiplantae; Streptophyta; Magnoliopsida; Poales; Poaceae.